Molecule: ribosomal RNA, 490 nt
Filed under: uncultured bacterium
Lineage: Bacteria
Description: partial 16S ribosomal RNA
Rfam family: Bacterial small subunit ribosomal RNA
Source: RNAcentral
GAUGAACGCUAGCUACAGGCUUAACACAUGCAAGUCGCGGGGCAGCAUGGGGGUUGCUUGCAAUCCCCGAUGGCGACCGGCGCACGGGUGAGUAACGCGUAUCCAACCUGCCCUUCACCACGGGAUAACCCGGCGAAAGUCGGACUAAUACCGUAUGUUGUCCAUUGACGGCAUCCGAUUUGGACGAAAGGCUUGGCGGUGAGGGAUGGGGAUGCGUCCGAUUAGCCAGACGGCGGGGUAACGGCCCACCGUGGCUACGAUCGGUAGGGGUUCUGAGAGGAAGGUCCCCCACACUGGAACUGAGACACGGUCCAGACUCCUACGGGAGGCAGCAGUGAGGAAUAUUGGUCAAUGGGCGUAAGCCUGAACCAGCCAAGUAGCGUGCAGGAUGACGGCCCUAUGGGUUGUAAACUGCUUUUAUGCGGGGAUAAAGUGGCCCACGUGUGGGCUUUUGCAGGUACCGCAUUAAUAAGGACCGGCUAAUUCCGUG